ACAGGGCUGGAGAACAGUACAAGGAACUUGCCGCUGGACCGUACAGAGGCGCAUAGGGAGGAAAAUGCACCGCCGUCGCUGCAGCCUGAAACGAUACUCCCAGAUGUUCUUUGACCAACGAACCGAAUAAGCAGAGACUCGAAAAAGUUUCUUCAACGCCAGGAAGAUCCUUCACCACCGACUGUUCUACACGGUGUGAUACGAUCGAGCGAGAAGGGAGAAGAAGAAGAACAGGCGUACAGCCUUAGGCGAGGUGUGCACGGUCGAGUGAAAUAAUUUCCUGGUGUCCUUAGCAGCGACGAAAGAGGAAGAACGGAAGCUAACUGGUCUUUCACAAAGUUUCUUGGACACUCGAAGAAGCUUCUACUGUGAGAAACUGGCGGCGGAUAAUGGUCCCCGCGAGGUAGACGAAGGAGAACCGAGUGAUCCUUCCGGAUAAAGGGUGUACCUUGUAUGCGUGUACCGACCCUCUUACAAAGCGUAUCCUCCCUCUUCGAGGGAAUCCACUGGAAAGAGCAAAUCUCCUUUUACCGAGUAAUGAUUGCGACAGGGCUUUGAUACUGACUCUUGCGUGUUAUCCAAAUUGACCCAGAAGUUCCAAAAUUUAUUUCAUUCAAAAUUGUCAAAGUUUUUUUUAUAGAAAAUCUUCGGUGCUUUAUUUUAAAUUUAAGAAAAUAUAUUUUUGUGAUUCUGGGUCACAAUGGAGCUGGCUCUUUCCAAGGGUUAAAAGACAUCGAACACCGUAUCAUUGAGAGUUUGUGGAUGUAGAAGGAGGGGGUGAAGAGUGCAUCAACCCUCUCUCUUAGCAGGAAGAAUAGGAGUCCGAGGAAGCAACGAAGCAACUAAGCAACCAGUCGAGAAUCCCUCGCGGUGGGUAGGCAGUGGCCCGAGAAAUUCAAUUACGGCUAAACUUCUCCAGUGAAGACGCGGCUCGUCUGUACACUACUGUAAGCACUCUGUUUCGAAGAUCGAACCGAGGAGACAUCCCCUGUGUACUCGCGACCCUCCACUUUUCAACGGGUGGCGGAGGAGGGAAGAAGAGAAGGCGUAGGUGUAAUUGAAACCGAGCGAAAUCGAAGUUUCAAUCCCCUGGCCCUGGCUGAGAAUGCUGCCUCCUUGCACAAACCUCUUCGAUGAGAAAAGAAUCGCGAGAAGUGAUUUCUGUCCGAUGCAAACCUGUCGCUAAACGUUCGAUUCGCUAUUACUACCACCAAUUAUUUUCUUCAUUUUUACGUGUUUCAGACGUGUAGCUAUUCGACUGAUUGUUAAGGAUGGAUAAUUGGAUAAUUAAGGAAACCUGUAGAGGAUGAUUCAAUCACUGAAGCCAUAAUAAAAUCAUAGCACAGAUAUUUGGAAGAAAUAUUGCAAUAUGAAGUUGUAACUACAAUACUUGUAAGUUCCCAAAGUGUAUCUAAGAAGAUUGCUCUUGAUAAGUAAAAUGGAACAGGUGUAGCAGUGAAAGGGCAACAUAUUUUCCACUGAAUUCUGUAAAAACUGGCAUAGGAGCAACAAAAGUGUGACACGCGACCAAGAGUAGAAUAAGCGAGAAACACGCAUGCGUUGUAGCACGCUUGAGUUGCGUACGAGUGGCCAUUAGGAACGUGCGUGAACGUACAAGGCUAAAUAGGGCAAGUGGCCAGGGACCAUAAUGUUAAGUAAAUAAUGGCCAAACUCCUGGUCCCUUAUUAUACCACUCAAAGCAAAAGUCGUACUCGUUAGUGGCGGCUUUAUAAUUCUCUCCAACCCUUCGCUUCCUUUCUAGGCUUCUUUCCUCUCCUCGCUGGCUCAUUCUCACCCUCCGUUAAGUGUACACGCGUGUGCUGUUCACUUCCGCAAGAACCGAGUGCACGCACUCGCUUCCUAUACUGGAGGACUGGUUACCACUUGCUGAUUUCAACCACCGACCCACCUGUUUCGUGGAGAUCCUUGAAGAAAUGGAGAUUCUUCGAUGCAACCCUUGCGAGUCUAGGAAUUUCCUAUCUUGGAGGAUCUUGAAGACGUCGAAGAGAAUUCUUGGAACAACCCUUACAACUAAUUACGAAGAAGGCCAGAAGAAACAAUUCCACCCUCAAGGACUACAGGUAUUAAGAAACACGAAGGACCGAUUUCAGUGAUCGUAUUGGGGUGAUCCGACAAGAGGGUGCAAGGCUCGGUAACAGAAUCUCAAGAAGGUUUAGCGUUACGAUCCUUCAUCGAUCAAAUUACCAAGUGUUUUAUUCCUUGGUGAAACAUAGAGGGUCACUUGAGAAUGGCUAAAUCUGUGCAACACAAUGUCCCUAUAGAAAAUGAAUCUUUACACCAUGAUGGUUCUUGAUAGCACUCGAGUUAAAGUACAUGUAAAACGAGGAAAGGAGAAAGUCACAUGUUUCGAAAGACCCUCUGGCUAAUUUGAAUCAUUUUACACUUCCGUGAUCCGUUUCACGAAGCCCGUGGGAAAGGAAACAACACCCUUUGCCGCCUGUUAAUCGAAUAACUUGCCAAGUAUCAUGCCACUGAUAAUAUCACACUGCCGUUACGAUCUCUGGCUAAAUGGAACUUGGUUUGA
Osmia bicornis bicornis is the source of this 2545-nucleotide long non-coding RNA. RefSeq lists it as uncharacterized. The record is from RefSeq and is a predicted model, not a curated record. The transcript has 4 exons. Lineage: Eukaryota; Metazoa; Arthropoda; Insecta; Hymenoptera; Megachilidae.